UAUAAAGAGAAACUUAAGCAGCUGAUGAAAAAGGACAUGCACAUCAUGUCUAAAAACCCAUGAAGUUUGUGAAGUUGUCAGGUUUGAGUUAUAGCAUGAAUGCAUUCAUUAACAGUGGCAGUAUAAGGGAAGAUGGAAUUAGCUAGACAACUACUAGGUUAUGGUAAAAAGUGAAUACAUGAAUAGAAAGACCACAUCUGGGAAAGCAGGAUCUACUAGAUUAUUCACGUGUUAGAAAUGGAAGUUUUUCAAUCAACCAAUCCAAACAGAAGCUAACAGAUCUCCUAAAUUCAUUUGAUGUUUAGAUCAAAAGUUCUCAGCAAGCUACUCAACAAGCACAGGGGUUGAAGUAAAUUACAAAGUGCUCUUUUGCAUUAUACAUGUGAGCAACUGCAGGAAAAACAAGAAACAUGUGUAAAUGGUAUCCCCCGUUAUAAGUACAUUCAACAAGCAAUUAGAGCUGCUAGUUGUUCUAGUCAAGUAAUAGCCGCUUUGCCAGUUUCAUCAUAAACUUUUCACCAUCUAAAGAACCAUCAGAUAUGAGCACCACAAAUUUUGUAUCUGAAAAGCAAUUGGUGAAAACCAACAGCAUUCUGUUUGACCAAGUUUUUAUUUAUAGUUAAAAUUUAUUGCAGAAGACCUAACUAAGAGUUUGUCCAUCUCUAUGUAUGUAGUUUAUUUGUAUUUGUAGACAGCUACCCUAAACAAAAGAGCACAUACUGCAUCUCUAGUUCAAAGAAUACAGAGCACAGCAAUUGCAAUCAUCACUUCACCUAUAAAAUGCAUUCUAAAUAAAAUUGGAAUAUAUCAAAGCCUGUGAUAAGUUAUUGUUGAAGUUGAAUACCCGUCCACCCAACACUAUAGGACUUUGAAAUAAUUAAAAAAAUAAAAAAUUCCAACAAUGGCAUUUGACUUGUAUUAAUUAAGCAACUACACAGAUCACUAUGGAAGAUUUUAUUUUUUUUUGCAAAAUUCAGAUGUGGAAGAAAUCUUAAGCACAAUUAUUGAGGAGUCAAUUCCACA
Populus euphratica (Euphrates poplar) is the source of this 1023-nucleotide long non-coding RNA. RefSeq lists it as uncharacterized. The transcript has 3 exons. The record is from RefSeq and is a predicted model, not a curated record. NCBI's taxonomy places the organism in Eukaryota, Viridiplantae, Streptophyta, Magnoliopsida, Malpighiales, Salicaceae.